Molecule: ribosomal RNA, 467 nt
Filed under: uncultured bacterium
Lineage: Bacteria
Description: partial 16S ribosomal RNA
Rfam family: Bacterial small subunit ribosomal RNA
Source: RNAcentral
ACCGACGCUGGCGGCGUGCUUCACCCAUGCCAGUCGAACGGGAAGGCCCUGCUUUUGUGGGGUGCUCGGGUGGCGAACCGGUGAGUAACCCGUUAGUAACCUGCCCUUGACUUUGGGAUAACUUCAGGAAACUGGGGCUAAUACCGGAUAGGAGCUCCUGCUGCCUGGUGGGGGUUGGGAAGUUUCGGCGGUUGGGGAUGGACUUGCGGCUUAUCCGCUUGUUGGGGGGGUAGUGGCUUAACAAGGGUUUGACGGGUAGGCGGCCUGAGAGGGUGACCGGCCACAAUGGGAAUGAGAUACGGGCCAGACUCCUACGGGAGGGAGCAGUGGGGAAUAAUGCAAAAUGGGCGGAAGCCUGAAGGAGCAACGCCGCGGGCGGGAUGACGGCCUUCGGGGUGUAAACCGCUUUCGCCUGGGACGAAGCGUGAGGGACGGUAAUGGGUAAAGAAGCACCGGCUAACUACGUG